This is a non-coding RNA of Acanthosepion pharaonis, 86 nucleotides long. The record is from the annotation of a GenBank genome assembly. NCBI's taxonomy places the organism in Eukaryota, Metazoa, Mollusca, Cephalopoda, Sepiida, Sepiidae.
GUUCUCGUACGAUCACCGAUGUUAAGCAACGUCGAGCCUAGUCUGUACUUAGAUGGGUGACCGCUUGGGAAUACCAGGUGGUGAAA